This is a long non-coding RNA of Culex quinquefasciatus (southern house mosquito), 1243 nucleotides long. RefSeq lists it as uncharacterized. Lineage: Eukaryota; Metazoa; Arthropoda; Insecta; Diptera; Culicidae. The record is from RefSeq and is a predicted model, not a curated record. The transcript has 3 exons.
UUCUUGCAGCCUUGCCAUCUCAAAUCGAGUAGUUUUUAAUCGAGUUUGGCAACUCGGUGUUUGUUUUGCUUUUCCUGCAGUUUUUGUAAAUAAACAAAGCAAUCUGCAAUCCGCGAGUUUAUUUUUUUUCCCCCGCUCGGUGACAAAAACGCUGCAGGUUUGCCGCUCCGCCGGCGGUCCCAAGGGACAGGGGGAAUAUUCCCGAGUUCGCGGUACGAGGAGAUGUUUCCACCGAUGGCUGGGCCGGCGAAUUCGGUUUGACGGAGCAGAAGCAAAUGCUUCAGGUUUUGUGGAGGAGCCCGUAGAACCAGCAAAAGACGGUCGACAUCUCGGUGGAGGAAGGACCGAGUGGAGAUGAUGGGGCACAUGCAGGCCACGUACGACACGAACACGUUUGAUUCUAGAGCGAAUCGGGCGUUGGUGAUCAACACGCCGGAAGAAGUUGAUAGAUUUUUGGGACCGUGAGGUGAAUACUUGGAUGAGGAACUUGUAUCGAGGCCGAACGGGACCGAGCGGGUUGAGAUCGCCGAGACACCAAGGAUAUUUCCGCCAUCCGGUUGUUCCCCUGGCCCAUCUUCUGCUGUACUGUAGCAUGGACGCCCGGAUCAAGAUCGGAGAGUUUUACUACGAGUGGCGUUGCUUGCGAACCUGCUAGGGCCACCAGCAGGCCAGGCGGGGAUAAGUUCGUGUCGGGUACAUUUGCUACCUCAAGCUGUGGGCAACGAAACGGCGACGUCGUGUCACACGUUAUCUCACGGAAGAUACCGUUUUUCAGCCCGGAUCACAGCAAGCAACACCUGCUAGUGGUGGGAACGUCCGACGUCCGCUAAGAUCAUCUGCUGGGACACCCGCAGUGGCGACUUCGUCCAGGAGUACGAACGCCAUCUGGGCACGAUAAACUUCGGCGAUUAAAACCAGCGACAGGAGAAACCUUGUACCGCGAUGGCGACGGCAGAGUCUACGUCUGUUACACGGCCUUUACGAGCAGCAGAGUGUCACACUAACAGUUUCGCCAUGCGCUGAUUCUCGAGUUUCUCCUGCUCCUCGCGAAUACGAAUGUUCUCGCGGGUGCGUCCAAUGGAGGUCCGCUGUUGAAUCUGGACCACCGCGGGGACAGCACCAACAGUAAUAGUUUGCCGGCACCGGUGCCUAUGCUGGCGGAGUACUACAAGGAAGAGCAACUCCAAGCUGAACAUUCCCGUCUGGCAGGGAUGGAAUAAUCGCAAAAAAAUCAAUUUCGCUU